AGUGAACGCUGGCGGUAGGCCUAACACAUGCAAGUCGAACGGCAGCACCGUACUAGCUUGCUCUUCCGGGUGGCGAGUGGCGGACGGGUGAGGAAUACAUCGGACUCUACUUUUUCGUGGGGGUUCACGUAGGUAAACUUACGCUAAUACCGCAUCCGCCCUACGGUUGAAAGCAUGGGAUCUUCGGACCUUGCGCGAUUGAAUGAGCCGCUGUCGGAUUAGCUAGUUGGCGGGGUAAAGGCCCACCAAGGCGACGAUCCGUAGCUGGUCUGAGAGGAUGAUAAGCCGCACUGGAAGGGAGACAGGGACCAGACGACUACGGGAGGCAGCAGUGGGGAAUAUUGGACAAUGGGCGCAAGCCUGAUCCAGCCAUACCGAGUGGGUGAAGAAGGCCUUCGGGGUGUAAAGACCUUUUGUUGGGAAAGAAAAGCAGCAGGUUAAGACGAAGCUGGUGUGACGGUACCGAAAGAAGAAGCACCGGCUAACUUCGUG
Molecule: ribosomal RNA, 492 nt
Filed under: uncultured bacterium
Lineage: Bacteria
Description: partial 16S ribosomal RNA
Rfam family: Bacterial small subunit ribosomal RNA
Source: RNAcentral